CCUGCUCCAUCCCGAGUCUCAUGUCCCUGCCUGCUCCAUCCUGAGUCUCAUUUUCCCUGCAUGCUCUUUAGGCCAUUGGUGUCUGAGAUCACUUCACUGGUUUUCCAUUUGGUUUCUCACCUGGGAAAUACAAAAAUAGCCCCUCCUGAAGAUAAAAUUGUUCAGAAACAGCAAUAAUUAUGACUCAUUAGCUACUUACUCAAAAAAGUCUGCCUUGAUGGUGGACUGAAAUGAGGCUUUUUAACCCACAAGCAACCUUUUUAUUUUUUUGAGACUGUCUUGCUCUGUCUGUCACCCAGGUUGGAGUACAGUGGCAUGAUCUUGGCUCACUGCAGCCUCGACUUCCUGGGCUCAAGUGAUCCUCCUAUCUCAGCCUCCUGUGUCACUAACCACAGGCACAUACCACCAUGCCUGGCUAUUUUUGGUUGAGCUGGGCUCUCACUUUGUUGCCCAGGCUGGUCUUGAACUCCUCAGCUCAAGCAAUCCUUCCCACUCAGCCUCCUGUGGUGUUGGGAAUACAGGCGUGCACCACUGCACCUGCUCCAGCCACUUGUAUAAAACCACUGACCUGUGUGUGGAGGACAGGCCAGGUGUGUGCUCACUGCACUGCGAAGAUACGUCAUCAUAUGACUUUCCCGUUUUCCAUUUCUCUUUUUCUGCUUUUCUCAAAAACCAAUAGAAGACUGGGUGCGGUGGCUCACACCUGUAAUCCCAGCACUUUGGGAGGCUGCAGCUGGCGGAUCACAAGGUCAGGAGUUUGAGACCAGCCUGGCCAACAUGAUGAAACCCCGUCUCCACUAAAAAUACAAAAAUUAGCUGGGUGUGAUGGUGGGUGCCUGUAAUCCCAGCUACUCAGGAGACUGAGGCAGGAGAAUUGUUUGAACGCUGGAGGUGGAGGUUGCGGUGAGCCGAGAUCGUGCCAUUGCACUCCACCCUGGGCAACGGCAAGACUCUUAUCUCAAAAACACUAUUGGAAAAUGCCCUGGAGGUGGCAGAGGGUUGUAGAUAUGUGAGGCCAACCCCCAGGGUGGCCCUGUCCGCCUCCCCGUUGAGAAUGGCUGCCAGGCUUCCCACUAGCCUCUGAAGAUGACGGUCUGGUGUGAGGAGGUGCAGGUGACUGGUUCUGAGCACCUUGGAAUUUCUGGCCGCACAUCCUCUGGUGCCCUCCCUCCCACCCGACAAGGAGCUUCCAGCCUGUUUUGAUUUCCUGUUUGUGGACCAGAAAUACAUUUUUCCAAACGAUGAGCAAAUAGGGUGAUUUCCUUUGUAAUGCUGCUCUGGGGCCUCCUCCUCAUCCUGGCAGAAGCAGCCUGGAUACCACACGGCGGCCGACACUGUGCCCUUGCUCAGGUGUGCCGUCCCCUCCCUCUCCCUCAGUCUCCUCUCCACACCCAAGUCGGUUUCCAGCCACUGGUCUUCACGGCAUUCCCAGUACAGCCAGGCACCAAGAGGCAAUACCCAAGGCCUGGCUUGGCCAUGUUAACGAUUGUAUAGACAUACAUUUUUAAAUAACUUUUAUGUAAUACUUUUCUAGAAUAGUAAGUUCUUGUUAACUGUCACAGAUGUGCUUCUAGAAACGUACCGGGUGUUACUUCCACUGAGUGUGUCCGUGGUCAUGGUCUGUGCCUUUGUAAACAGAACACUUGAACCACCUCCUGAAUUGGGUCAUCUGCUUCCUGAAAUUGACACUUAAGAGAUGUGCAUCUCUCUAACUUUCAAGGAAACUUCCCCACUAAAUGGCAUGAAAAGGUUUAAAUAAAAUCCGAGAGUCCCAAUUCCCUCUGUAACAGUGUUACAAUAAUCUGUCUGCCUGGAAAGAUGAAAACACUCUUGCACAACCCAAAAUGUGUCUUUAAUUUGUGAAAAAUUAACAUGGUGAGUCAAACAGUCAUUUUAAAGAGCUGAGCAAAGAAUAUCAUCAGCCAAAUAGAGCAUUGCUUUGUAGGGUGCCUUUAAACUCCUGGCCACAAAACCAGUGAGCUCUGCUUGCUGCUGCCACGCUCCUGGAUGAUCACUUAGAUGGGUCAGUGGGAAUAACAGGCGAACAAGACAGUUCUUUACAUCUGUCCAAAUGAUGUCCUCCUAAGGCCUGGAAGUAUUUCAUUGCUGGAAGAAGGAAACAAGCAUGUCAUUCCAGAUAGAAACGGACUUCUCUCUUUUGCCCUUGACUGAUAGAAACGGACUUCUCUCUUGUCCUCAACCGAUAGAAACGGCUCUCUCUCUCUUUCUCUCUCUCUCCCCCCUUUGACCAACACGGUACUAAGCGGUUUCUUCUUUCCCAACGUAUGUGUGUGCCCUGCUGGGGGCCUUACUUGAUAGACUGAGAGUGUCCUAGCUCCCCUAAUGAAUCUGACUAGUUCUCUGUCCUGGCUGAGGAUACAGGAGUGGGACAUCCACCCUCAGAGCACAGAAACCUUCAGCUUCGCUGUCUCAAGUAUUUCUUCCAGUUUCCCUGUGGGCCUCUGAUGUUUGAGUGUGAUGGCUGCUAGAUCCUUAAAGAAAACUCAGUUGGAAACUUCCAACUCGCAGUCCUUUUUUGUUGUUUUCCAUUUCAUUUCACUUACAGCUGAAAGCGGCAUUCAGCUGACUUGCUCAUUUAAACUGUUCACAGAGUCUGAACUGCCAACGUGGUAUUGGAGGCUCCAUCUUGUAAGAGGGCCACAGACUUUCCCACAUGGGAAAACUUGAAAAUUACAUCAACAAUCGAUGUCAGAGCCAAAUUACAUUUCCUUUAUACCAAACAAAACUAUGAGAACUAAAAGUACAUUGUACAAAAUGUUUCUAGUGUUUUGUAUGUGACCUAUUUCAGUAUUUAUAUUACUAGAUCAGUGCUUUCGAUUCUGUUAAAUAAUGUAGCCAGUUGCUGUUAAUUCUGCCACCACGAUAAGCUGAUACUGUGUAACUAAUCCUGUGGACGCCUCCUGCUUAUUUUUGUCUAAACUAAGCAGCCAUGGUAGCAGCUAUGAUUCUUGCUCAGCAAAGUAAAAUAAAUGUUAAAUAUGGACUG
Piliocolobus tephrosceles (Ugandan red Colobus) is the source of this 3007-nucleotide RNA transcript. RefSeq lists it as uncharacterized. The record is from RefSeq and is a predicted model, not a curated record. The transcript has a single exon. Lineage: Eukaryota; Metazoa; Chordata; Mammalia; Primates; Cercopithecidae.